GAUGAACGCUGGCGGCGUGCCUAAUACAUGCAAGUCGAGCGAACGGACGAGAAGCUUGCUUUUCUGAUGUUAGCGGCGGACGGGUGAGUAACACGUGGAUAACCUACCUAUAAGACUGGGAUAACUUCGGGAAACCGGAGCUAAUACCGGAUAAUAUUUUGAACCGCAUGGUUCAAAAGUGAAAGACGUUCUUGCUGUCACUUAUAGAUGGAUCCGCGCUGCAUUAGCUAGUUGGUAAGGUAACGGCUUACCAAGGCAACGAUGCAUAGCCGACCUGAGAGGGUGAUCGGCCGCACUGGAACUGAGACACGGUCCAGACUCCUACGGGAGGCAGCAGUAGGGAAUCUUCCGCAAUGGGCGAAAGCCUGACGGAGCAACGCCGCGUGAGUGAUGAAGGUCUUCGGAUCGUAAAACUCUGUUAUUAGGGAAGAACAUAUGUGUAAGUAACUGUGCACAUCUUGACGGUACCUAAUCAGAAAGCCACGGCUAGCUACGUG
Molecule: ribosomal RNA, 497 nt
Filed under: uncultured bacterium
Lineage: Bacteria
Description: partial 16S ribosomal RNA
Rfam family: Bacterial small subunit ribosomal RNA
Source: RNAcentral